This 239-nucleotide ribosomal RNA is filed under the name uncultured eukaryote. RNAcentral describes it as "partial 18S ribosomal RNA". It matches the Rfam family "Eukaryotic small subunit ribosomal RNA", at positions 1208 to 1456 of the family's 1831-position model. The record is from RNAcentral.
GGGAACCUCACCCGGCCCGGACACCGCGAGGAUUGACAGACUGAGAGCUCUUUCUCGAUUCGGUGGGUGGUGGUGCAUGGCCGUUCUUAGUUGGUGAGCGAUCUGUCUGGUUAAUUCCGAUAACGAACGAGACCCCAACCUGCUAACUAGCCCUCGGGUCCUGCUUCUGUUGGGCCCGACGGAAUGAUUCGCUUCUUAGAGGGACUCGCGGCGCCUAGCCGCACGAAGGGGGGCGAUAA